UUCGAUAUCAGUGUAAUCUAAUAACCAUGAUAUUUGUGAAUAUGAUGCUUGUGUGAUGUUACUCUGAGUGCAUAUCCACACCGGGCAAGCUUGAAAAAUAUGCCAAGCCACAGUGGGAUUCAAACCGACCUGACCGCGUAGCUCAGUUGACAGAGCAUUGGCAUUUGGGCUAGUAUUCCAAAGGUCGUAGGUUCAAAUCCCACUGUGGCCAGGCAUAUUUUUCAAGCCUGCCCGGUGUGGAUAUACACUCAGAGUAACAUCACACAAGCAUCUCAUUUCAUCAAGUUCCUCCAGAUAUUCAUACACUUCCUGUGAAAGAGCCAAUUCCAAGUAUUUAAUCAUUUCUGG
Paramuricea clavata is the source of this 348-nucleotide non-coding RNA. Lineage: Eukaryota; Metazoa; Cnidaria; Anthozoa; Malacalcyonacea; Plexauridae. The record is from the annotation of a GenBank genome assembly.